UGUCUUAGUCCGCCUUAUUGUCCGCCUCCGUGGCUUUCUCACCAUGGCCACCCCUCUCACUGACCCCACUGGACAGAGGGGCAGAAGCUCUGGACAGAGGGGCAGAAGCUCUGGACAGAGGGGCAGAAGCUCUGGACAGAGGGGCAGAAGCUCUGGACAGAGGGGCAGAAGCUCUGGACAGAGGGGCAGAAGCUCUGGACAGAGGGGCUCUGGCGCCUCUGGGCUGACGGGCUCUGGCGCCUCAGACUCCGGCAGCGGCGCCGGACAGGCGGGAGACUCCGGCAUCAGCGCCGGACAGGCGGGAGGCUCCGGACAGGCGGGAGGCUCCGGCAGCAGCGCCGGACAGGCGGGAGGCUCCAGACAGGCGGGAGGCUCCGGCAGCGGCAGCGGCGCCGGACAGGCGGGAGGCUCCGGCAGCGUCGCCGGACAGGCGGGAGGCUCCGGCAGCGUCGCCGGACAGGCGGGAGGCUCCGGCAGCGGCGCCGGACAGGCGGGAGGCUCCGGCAGCGGCGCCGGACAGGCGGGAGGCUCCGGCAGCAGCGCCGGACAGGCGGGAGACUCCGGCAGCAGCGCCGGACAGGCGGGAGACUCCGGCAGCAGCGCCGGACAGGCGGGAGACUCCGGCAGCGGCGCCGGACAGACAGGACCACCUGCAGGGAGGAGACAGAGAGACAGCCUGGUGCGUGGGGCUGCCACAGGAACCACCAGGCUGGGGAGACCCUCAGGAGGCUUGGUGUUAGGAGGCACCUGAAGGACCGGGCUGUGGGGGAGCACUGGAGCUCUGGUGCGCAACCUUGGCACCACUUCCCCAGGCUGUCUCUCUGUCUCCUCCCUGCAGGUGGUCCCGCCUGUCCGGCGCUGCUGCCGGAGUCUCCCGCCUGUCCGGCACUGCUGCCGGAGCCUCCCGCCUGUCCGGCGCUGCUGCCGGAGCC
Long non-coding RNA from Oncorhynchus tshawytscha (Chinook salmon), 932 nucleotides. The record is from Ensembl. NCBI's taxonomy places the organism in Eukaryota, Metazoa, Chordata, Actinopteri, Salmoniformes, Salmonidae.